This 250-nucleotide ribosomal RNA is filed under the name uncultured bacterium. Its description in RNAcentral is "partial 16S ribosomal RNA". It matches the Rfam family "Bacterial small subunit ribosomal RNA", at positions 524 to 773 of the family's 1533-position model. The record is from RNAcentral.
UACGUAGGUGGCGAGCGUUAUCCGGAUUUACUGGGUGUAAAGGGCGUGUAGGCGGGUUGGUAAGUUGGAAGUGAAAUACCGCAGCUUAACUGCGGGGCUGCUUUCAAAACUACUUAUCUUGAGUGUCGGAGAGGAAAGCGGAAUUCCUAGUGUAGCGGUGAAAUGCGUAGAUAUUAGGAGGAACACCAGUGGCGAAGGCGGCUUUCUGGACGAUAACUGACGCUGAGGCGCGAAAGCGUGGGGAGCAAAC